Non-coding RNA from Paramisgurnus dabryanus, 1371 nucleotides. NCBI's taxonomy places the organism in Eukaryota, Metazoa, Chordata, Actinopteri, Cypriniformes, Cobitidae. The record is from RefSeq and is a predicted model, not a curated record.
GUUAAUAUGUUCGCGUAUUAAAUAUUUUUCAGUGAGUUAUUUUAGACCGUCUUGGGGAACUCUAUUAUCUCUUUCAGUCCGAGGGGGACUCGUUCCUUAAUAACAGCCAUGUGAAACUAAAUACACGGUCGUAAAAUUGACUUUUUCUUCCCACACAAAAAAUGACAUCCGUCCUUUUAUAAUAUUAACCAUUUGAAUGCAUUUUUAAUGAUUUUGUCUAAGUGACAUGCUUGAAAGUGGGCUUCUAUGGUAAAAGUUCACCUGUCAAUCAAAGAGCUCCGUUCAAUAUAAGCGCACAGGCACUGUAGUAGACAGCCAGACAAAGAAGUGAUUAAGUAAGGAAACUAACAUGAUGAUAACUUGAUAAUGACCCCCUUUGCCUUGCAAUCUAUUCAUAAAAUUAAGAGCCUUUAUUAACCUUUGGAAUUUAAACAAAAUAGAAUAAUUGUCUUUUCUGUCAUGUUCUUAACAUACUGUUUAGUCAAUAAAGAUGAAUGAAUACUGAAUGCAUAUUAAUUUACAAAGGCAUUUGCAAUAUAUUUGACUUCUUUUUCUCCUUUCUGUUUUUGUAAACAGGACCUACAUACACCCCAAAGGCUCUUUUCAGAGCCAUUUGACCAAGCAUCUUUGUACAUGCCGGUUUUCCUUCAGUAGUGCCAGUUUUCCUAAGAUUUUACCUCGUCCUCCACUGCCUCCAGUAAUUCCUGGUUUUAAGGUGGAGUAAUGGAGUAAAGAUGCAACGGAGCAGCUGAUAAGAAAACAUGCUUAAGACCAUCUUAAACGUGCACCAUCAAGAAAGGGUGGGGUACACAAUAAACAUUUUUUUUAACAUUACUUUUUGAAUAGAUGCACUUUUUAAAUUUUUUUUAAAAGUAUAUAUAUAUUGUUUAUUUAUGUUGUUUUUAAAUGUUAUAAUUGUAUUGUUUUUAUUUGUUGUAUUUAGCUUUUAUGCAUUUGUACACACACAAACACACAACCACAUUUAUACAAAAUAAGUUUUGAAUAAAUACGUUUAAUGGAGUGAAAAGUGUGAGUCUUUAUUUAGCUAAAUGAUGUCUAAAAUGAGUCUGCAGUUGACGUUAUAAGACGUUGAAAAUAUGUCCACAAUGACCACAUUUCAACUAAAUUUGGACCUUAAAAAGACGUCCUAUGGAUGUCAUUAUUGGACGUCCAAAAGACGUCAGAAAAAGACGUCGGAAAACCUUUCAUUCUGCACCCUGAUGGGGACGUCUUUUCAACGUCUUUAUUGGACGUCCAAAAGACGUCAGAAAAAGACGUCGGAAAACCUUUCAUUCUGCACCCUGAUGGGGACGUCUUUUCAACGUCCGACAAAGAUGUUGAAAAGACGUCUUUUGGACAUACUUUUGCUCA